AUAAUCAUUAGUCUUUUAAUUUGAGACCGGUCUGAAAGAGUAAACCAGGAGAACAUUUUUUCAACUGAAAGAAUAAAUUUUACUUUUUAGUAAGAAGGCUAAAAUUUAGCUUUUAGACAAGAAGACCCUAUAAAACUUUAUAUUUUUACUUCCUUUGAUNNGAAAGGAGAAAUAUUUUACUGGGGCGGUGGAGAAAAANANNGCUUUCUUUAUAAAAAAAGACAAACAUGUUUUAAUACCUAGAAAUUCUAAAGAAGGAAUAAGUUACUUUAGGGAUAACAGCUUAAUUUACUUAGAAAGAUCAAAUUGACAAGUAAGUUUAUGACCUCGAUGUUGAAUUAAAAGUCCUUU
This 351-nucleotide ribosomal RNA is filed under the name Androctonus mauritanicus. RNAcentral's name for it is "partial 16S ribosomal RNA". The record is from RNAcentral. Lineage: Eukaryota; Metazoa; Arthropoda; Arachnida; Scorpiones; Buthidae.